RNAcentral lists this ribosomal RNA (322 nucleotides) under uncultured Thermovirga sp. Its description in RNAcentral is "bacterial SSU rRNA". It matches the Rfam family "Bacterial small subunit ribosomal RNA", at positions 1060 to 1382 of the family's 1533-position model. The record is from RNAcentral. Lineage: Bacteria; Thermotogati; Synergistota; Synergistia; Synergistales; Thermovirgaceae.
UCGUGUCGUGAGAUGUUGGGUAAGUCCCGCAACGAGCGCAACCCUGCAUUCAGUUGCCAUCGGUAAGGCCGGGCACUCUGGAUGGACUGCCGGCGACAAGCCGGAGGAAGGUGGGGACGACGUCAAGUCAUCAUGGCCCUUAUGUCCAGGGCGACACACGUGCUACAAUGGCCGGCACAACGGGAAGCGAAGGGGCGACCCUGAGCGGAUCCCACAAAAGCCGGUCUCAGUUCGGAUUGCAGUCUGCAACUCGACUGCAUGAAGUUGGAAUCGCUAGUAAUCGUGGAUCAGCCAAGCCGCGGUGAAUACGUUCCCGGGCCUU